UGGGGAAUAUUGCGCAAUGGGGGGAACCCUGACGCAGCCAUGCCGCGUGAAUGAAGAAGGCCUUAGGGUUGUAAAGUUCUUUCGGUAUUGAGGAAGGUUGAUGUGUUAAUAGCACAUCAAAUUGGCGUUAAAUACAGAAGAAGCACCGGCUAACUCCGUGCCAGCAGCCGCGGUAAUACGGAGGGUGCGAGCGUUAAUCGGAAUAACUGGGCGUAAAGGGCACGCAGGCGGUUAUUUAAGUGAGGUGUGAAAGCCCUGGGCUUAACCUAGGAAUUGCAUUUCAGACUGGGUAACUAGAGUACUUUAGGGAGGGGUAGAAUUCCACGUGUAGCGGUGAAAUGCGUAGAGAUGUGGAGGAAUACCGAAGGCGAAGGCAGCCCCUUGGGAAUGUACUGACGCUCAUGUGCGAAAGCGUGGGGAGCAAACAGGAUUAGAUACCCUGGUAGUCCACGCUGUAAACGCUGUCGAUUUGGGGGUUGGGGUUUAACUCUGGCGCCCGUAGCUAACGUGAUAAAUCGACCGCCUGGGGAGUACGGCCGCAAGGUUA
RNAcentral lists this ribosomal RNA (547 nucleotides) under uncultured bacterium. RNAcentral's name for it is "bacterial SSU rRNA". It matches the Rfam family "Bacterial small subunit ribosomal RNA", at positions 355 to 896 of the family's 1533-position model. The record is from RNAcentral.